GUAAGGGAUAUUGCGCAAUGGGCGAAAGCCUGACGCAGCAACGCCGCGUGCCCGAUGAAGGCCUUCGGGUCGUAAAGGGCUUUUCUGGCUGAAGAGGAAGGACGGUAAGCCAGGAAAAAGUGUCGGCUAACUACGUGCCAGCAGCCGCGGUAAAACGUAGGACGCGAGCGUUAUCCGGAGUUACUGGGCGUAAAGGGCGGGCAGGCGGCCAAGCAAGAUGGGCGUGAAAUCUCCCGGCUCAACUGGGAGGGGCCGCUCGUGACUGUUUGGCUAGAGAACGACAGAGGCGCGUGGAAUUCCGGGUGGAGUGGUGAAAUGCGUAGAGAUCCGGAGGAACACCAGAGGCGAAAGCGGCGCGCUGGGUCGUGACUGACGCUGAACCGCGAAAGCUAGGGUAGCGAACGGGAUUAGAUACCCCUGUAGUCC
RNAcentral lists this ribosomal RNA (426 nucleotides) under uncultured bacterium. RNAcentral's name for it is "bacterial SSU rRNA". It matches the Rfam family "Bacterial small subunit ribosomal RNA", at positions 354 to 796 of the family's 1533-position model. The record is from RNAcentral.